This is a long non-coding RNA of Carassius gibelio (silver crucian carp), 3972 nucleotides long. RefSeq lists it as uncharacterized. The record is from RefSeq and is a predicted model, not a curated record. NCBI's taxonomy places the organism in Eukaryota, Metazoa, Chordata, Actinopteri, Cypriniformes, Cyprinidae. The transcript is spliced from 5 exons.
UAGCAUUUCACCCCCCCCCUUUAAUGAAGGUUAAGGAAAACAGUCUGACACCAUGGGUAAUGAGGACACUCGCACCCUAAUAAGAGCAGCCCGGAAAAUGUAGCGCAGCUGGAGGAAAACAAAAUUAGAGGUAUUUCAUAUUGCUUUGCGGGAAAGUAACCUAUCCUACAGAAAAGCAUUCAAAACUGCUAGAUCUGAUUACUUUUUGUCUCUUUUAGAAGAAAACAAACCUAACCCCAGGUAUUUAUUCAAUACAGUGGCUAAAUUAACAAAAAAAAUAAAGCAUCAACAAGUGUUAACAUUUCCCAACAUCACAGCAGUAAUGACUUUAUGAACUACUUUACUUCUAAAAUUGAUACUGUUAGAGAUAAGAUUGUAACUAUGCAGUUGCAGCUACAGUAUCGCAUCAGACAGUGCACUAUAGAUCCCCUGAGGAACAGUUCCACUCAUUAUCUACUAUAAGAGAGGAAGAAUUGUAUAAACUUGUUAUAUCAUCUAAACCACCAACAGGUAUGUUAGACCCUAUUCCAUCUAAGCUCCUAAAAGAUGUGCUUCCAGAAGUCAUGGAUCCUCUUCUGACUAUUAUUAAUUCCUCAUUGUCAUUAGGAUAUGCCCCCAAAACCUUCAAACUGUCUGUUAUAAGCCUCUCAUCAAAAAGCCACAACUUGACCCCAAAGAACUAAUUAAUUAUAGAACAAUCUCGAAAAGGUAGUAUCCUCACAAUUAUAUUCCUUCUUAGAGAAGAAUGGUAUCUGUGAGGAUUUCCAGUCAGAAUUUAGAACUUAUCAUACUACUGAGAAUGCUAUCCUAUAUAGUUACAAUUGACUUGUUGACUUGCUCAUCUGAUCUUGGUUAUAUCUUUCUAUUUGUGCUAUUGGAUCUUAGUGCUGCGUUUGACACUAUUGACCACAACAUUCUUUUGCAUGAACUAGAACACUUUGUUGGCAUAAAUGGAAGUGCAUUAGAUGGUUUAAAUCAUACUUAUAUGACUGGCAUCAUUUCGUAGCAGUGAAUGAAGAGGUAUCAUAUUGACCAAAAGGUCCAGUAUGGAGUACCUCAAGGCUCCGUAUUAGGGCUGUUACUCUUCAAAGUGUAAUGAUGGACUUUACCUGAGUGUGUUAUAAUUGGAAUAAAGCAUUGUUGAAGCAUCAGCUGUACUAAGCAAAAACAAAUGGAACAAAUAAAAAUAAAGAAUCCCCAGUUUAGUCUGUUAUUAUUCUGUUCUUGGAAAAAAGGUCAGUUAAAUGUAACUGGUGUAAGAUAUUACUGUAUGAAAAAAAAAAUGUAACCCCUCAUUUUUUUCUAGAUACUGUAAGUGUAUGGAAGGGUUUUUUUUAAAAACAGUCCACUAAAACAAUUACGAUGUAAAUCAGUUACUAAUCUUUUAGCACAGUGUAGCGAAUCAGCUCAAAUGGGGAAUAAGAAUAAUUAAUCAUAGCUUGUUAUACUUAUAAAUAUUUAGAAGAUCUGCUGAAGGUAUUUACUUGACAUCUCAGUGUCAACUAUGUCAAUUCUAAGAAUGUUAAUUUCCUGGUUAAGGAAAAUAACUUUCCUACCUUCCUAGAAUAUAACUCAGAGUUUGUAGCAAAAAACAGAAUUAUUAGGGAUUCCACUUAUGAGCAAACAAUGGAAAACCUCAAGUGUGAUACAAGUAAGAAUUUAUUAACUACAUAAAUAGACUUAAACUAGUCAUACACAUACAUACAAACACAAACACACACACACACACACACACACAGUGGACAUAGGAAAAAGGGUUAAAGCUUUAGCAGUAAAGAGAAGAGAAAUAAAGACAUGAAACUAUGGUACAAUUUGAUAUUCAGCAGAUAUACAGCCUUAAGGAAACAUCAGUUUCUUAGUUAAAACACCUUUGUAAAAGGACAAAAUGAUACUUAAUGUAUCAAUUAAUAAGACUAAGUUUGAUACUUGCACAUCUCACCUGUUUGAAAGAGAGUCCUGAUACUGGGAAGUUUUACGACCCUUUGUCUGAGAGCAUGGCAGUUUGCAACUGAAACUGGAUCAGAAGUUGAUAUACAAACUAGUAAAGAUUCUUAGUACACUAAUAUGUUGCAUCAACAUAUAAAAUUCACUCUUGUUUAAAAUCAUCGGAAGACUAUUUGAUAGAGACCAAACAUGGUAUAAGUGAGGUGAUAUUAACUAGUGUUCUAUCAUAAGCAUGCAUAAAAAUGUCAAAUUCAAUAGACAAUAUACAAGAACAGCACUAAUAUACACAAUGAUAUGAAAUAUAUGUGUGUUCAUUUAAAGAGAGGUUUUCUUAUGAAUAUUUUAGAGAAGAGUCCAUUUUAUGGCCAUUAUGUGUCUCUACUAAGGGGAAAUGAAGUGGGUGUGGCUCUGCCCACAUUCCUUCGGGCAAUAAAACUGUUAUCAGACUACCAGGUUACCAUGGAACUGAAGGCCUGUUGGCCUAUUUUAGGUGUUAGUUGCAUUUCGGGGGAAGGGUCCUUAGAUGAGCGGGCGUUAGAUAUUAUUUGUUAAUAUGUCUCUGAUUGGUCCAAAUGCUACAAGAGUCAAACAGGAAACAAACAGCUCUGGUCGAAGGAGUAUUCACCAGCCACGUAAAAUGUUCACAUUCAAGACAGUUUGCACAUAAUUUCUAGUUGACAAGUCUAAGUAAAAUAAAUAAUCUCUGUAUAUGCUUCAAAUACUGAAGUAUGUUGUUCACAUAUGUUUCCAAUGGAAUCAAAAGAUUAAACUGCAUAACUUCAGUUAAUAUUAGCACACAAACAUGGACAAAACCACAGGGUCACCCAGGGACAAAGUUCAUCUGUGUUUUUUUUUAUUAUUAUUUAUUAAGUCCUGUUUGAAGUGGUGGAUGGAAGGGGACAGUUGCUUUCAGCAACACAGACUUAACUACGUCUUUUGGAAAACAGCUUAAAAUGAAAUAUUGUGAAGUUUUUCUCAUCCUUCAGUUAAUGUUCAUGGAUGUCUCAACAAAAGAAAUUACCUGUGAAGGUGAACAGCUCAUCAAUGUUGACAUUGUAGUUGGAAAUCCAGACCCAUAUCAGCCAUUACAGGCCAAUUUCAAAGCAACAAUACAUGUUUGAGCACGAAAAACACACUUUGGAGAAGGUGAUGAGCCCUCAAGAACAGGAAAAAGCAGCCCUUCUUGGCUAAAAACACGGUGAUGUAAACACUGUUUGGUUCAUCUUUGAAACAAAUUACAAUUUUUUUUUUAUUUUAUUUUUUUUUAUGAAACUUUUAUGAGAGAUUUCUGUGCAUCCAUAGAAAGUUUAGGUAACAAAAACGUAGAAUAUCCCAAAAGGUUGUAAAGGUGUUUUAAAAGUAUUCAAUAUGAAUUUAGUUGUAGUUGUUUUGACUUGUUUCUUGUGAUGAGAUCCAAUCACUAUACAAUGAAAAUAUUUAAUGUAGGCUUUCAUUCAAAUAUAAACACACAUACAUUUCAUAUUGAUGCAUUUUAUGACACCUCUUGGUUACAUGGACUGAUACUGGAGAAAAGGAAAGUUUUCAGGUUUCAUUAUGAAAUAUCUUAAUUUGUGUUUUGAAGAUAGCCAAAGUCUGAUGGAUUUGAACUACAAGGGUGUAAGUAAAUAAAAAUUAUGAUGAUGAAAUCCUUGAAAAAUGAAACUACAGAUUAUGUUUUUCUAGGUAAUUGAUGUUUCCAAAAAGGACCAAAAAAUACCUUGUGAAAGGUAUUGAAAUCGAUAAGGAGUUUACAGUGUUGACCUUGCAUUUAAUGUAUUUUUCAAAUGUGUCCAAAUGUGAUAAUCUGUCCUUUUCUUUUUCUUUUCUAAAGUUUAAUGCAAGUUCAUGUUAAAUGUUCUUGGAUGUUAAACUUCUUGGAUGUUCUAUUCUGGAAUGUUAUGCUUUUAUUAAGCCAUGGUGUUUUAAAGCAAUUUUCACUAUUAACUUGUAAAUUCUUCCUCAAAAUCCAAAAGUGGAAAUGAUGUCAAUGAGUGUUUUAAUGUGAUGUAAUAAACAUUUAAAAAUGUU